Molecule: non-coding RNA, 1831 nt
Organism: Taeniopygia guttata (zebra finch)
Lineage: Eukaryota; Metazoa; Chordata; Aves; Passeriformes; Estrildidae
Source: RefSeq, a predicted model, not a curated record
GCGGAGCGUCCGUGAGGGGCUGCCGGCAUGUCGGCACCGCGCUGCCCGCAGUGCGCCCAGCCCUGCGCGUCGCCGCGGCUGCUGCCCUGCCUGCACUCGCUGUGCGAGCCCUGCCUGCGCCGGCUCGGGCCGCCGGAGGGGCCGCCGGGCGCCGCCCGCCCGGUCCUGUGCCCGGUGUGCGACGCCGAGCUGUCGCUGCCGGCCGGCGGCGUGGGGCAGCUGCCCCCCGACUGCCUGGCUGGGAGCCGCGGCCGGGCCGCGGCCGGGUGCGACCUCUGCGCCGACGGGGCGGCGGCCGGGCGGUGCCUGACCUGCGGCCUCCGCCUCUGCCGCUUCUGCUGCAGGGCGCACAGGAGACAGAAGAAAACAGCCUCCCAUGCUGUGACAGAGCUGGAGAACACCAAGGAUUGCAGCCAGGCCGGGAAGCCUCUCCUGUGCCCCUCCCAUCCCACAGAGGAGCUGCAGCUGUUCUGCGAGCAGUGUGACCAGCCCGUGUGCCGGGACUGCGUUCUGGGCAGACACCGUCAGCACCCCUGUGACUUCACCGGCAAUGUCAUCCACAGGCACGGGGAUGCCCUGCGGGAGCUGCUGAAGAACAGCCAGCAGCACAUGGACACCCUGGAGGAUGUGCUGAGCCAGGUCGAUGAGAUGGGCAGUGCUGUCCGCAGUCGCGCAGAGGCUGUGGCCACAGAGAUCUGCCUGUUUGCCAGGGGCUACGUGAAAGCAAUUGAAGAGCACAGGGACCGGCUGCUGAAGCAGCUGGAGGACUUGAAGGUGCAGAAGGAAAACCUGCUGCACUUGCAGAAGGCCCAGCUGCAGCAGCUGCUGCUGGACAUGAGGACAGGUGUGGAGUUCACGGAGCACUUGCUGAUGAGCGGCUCAGAUGUGGAGAUCCUCAUCACCAAAGGGGUGGUGUCCAGCCGUCUGACAAAGCUCAACAGCGUUGCUUACAGCACCCACCCCAGUGUGGAUGACAGGAUCCAGUUCUCCCCCCACGAGAGGGCAGGGCAGUGUUGUGGCUAUGAAGUUUUUGGGGCCAUUCUCAAUAAAGUGGUCGAUCCAGCCAGAUGUACUCUUCAUGGGGAAGAUCUCCACAGUGCCCGUCAGAACCAGCUGAGUGGCUUUACCCUGCUGUGCAAGGACACUACAGGGGAGCGCAUGGGGCGGGGCGGAGAGGCUGUGCGGGUCACCAUCGCCCACAAGGACAAGAGGGACUGCACUCUGUUCACCAGGAUUCCCUGUGAAACACAAAGAUCUUCACUGCGAAAAGGGAGAGUUUACCACCAGGGACCUAGAACACCUCAGCACUGAAGGAAAAAGUUGGGGUCCGUGCAGCUGGGACAGUGGUUAAAGUGAUUCAAGCCGACCCUAUUAUAGCUUGUCUUCUUAAUGGGUUUUUCUGGAGGUAACUGCUUGCUGAAGCUGUGAAUUUACUCCCUUUCUGUGGGCUCUUAUCUGAUGGGAUAAUCUGACUUGUGUGCUGUGUGUCAUCUGCCUUUUCUGUGUGCAGGUUGCUACAAAUCCUUGCAGUGCAACUGGCUUUGUGUGACUUCCUUUGUAUGGUAAUUGCAGCUUCCAGUAGCAGGGGUGUGUGAAAACCACUCUAAGCCAAUCUAGGCCAAACUCUGGUUUACAUUUAACGCAAUUUUUUGCCAGUUACUGACCUCUUGGGUUUCUCUCCACUGUUCACAGUGCAGUCAAGCCAACAGUGUGUGAUAAUGGUGAUGGGACCUACUGUAUUUCCUACAACCCUGAAGAGCCAGGCUUGUAUGCUGUCUGCGUCUAUGUGAAAGGGCAACAUGUGCAGGGCUCUCCCUUCACUCUGAUGGUG